RNAcentral lists this long non-coding RNA (1101 nucleotides) under Equus caballus (horse). RNAcentral describes it as "lncRNA (ENSECAG00000045856.1)". The record is from RNAcentral. Lineage: Eukaryota; Metazoa; Chordata; Mammalia; Perissodactyla; Equidae.
AUUUUUUCACAAGUGUGCAUUUUAUAUUUGCGUGACAGUCACUAUUUUAACUUUUUUUCCCAAAGAAAUAUCUUUUAACACUAGGGUACAAUAGCUGCUUAGUAAUUCUCUUAUACAACCUUUAGGAAAGGCCACAUUGGACAUUUCACAAGCCUUCUAACAAGACUGACUUUCAGUGACAUAAUUUUGCAAUUAUCCAGCCUAAUUCAAGUCUAUGAAGAUUUAUUGAUCGCUUGCUACGUGUACAUGGAUCAGAGAUCAAUAAGAUCCACCUGGGUCCCAUAUAGUCCACAUGGGUACAAUUACAACUCCAAGCCUGACUGUGCUGUGUGUAAUAAUCGAACACUAUGUAAAAUACCUUGGGAAACUGAAGAGGAAGCAGUGAAUUCCAAUGAGAUAGAAUGUGCUGUGUUUUACCUAAAUGGCAGUAUUUGAGUUGAGUCUUAUAGGAUGAGUCAGGUUUUUACUGAAGGAAAGAAGAGAAAAGGACAAAUAUUCAGGAAAGUCAGUGGGAUAUGGAAGAGCAUUUUAUCUGGAGAAUAAUCUCUCAGGUAGGUGCGUGUGGGUGGAAUGGGGACACCCUGGGGGUAAAUGAGAAGAUGUAACAUUUGAGACAGGACCAAAUUAUGAAAGCCUUGAGUGUCAAGCUUUGGAUUCAAGACUUGAUUCUGUAGCAGUUAAGACCUAUCACAGGUUUUUAUGCAGAGAGUGAUGCCAUCAGAUCUUAAUAGAGGGGAGAUGCUUGGAAUUGUGGUGUCUUGAAAUAUACCAGCUGUUAAACUACUAGAACAGAUUUGUGAUACAACCAGUAUAUAUGGGUUAUUUUCACACUCAAUAAAAACCUUGUGCACUAGGCAAAAUAUACAUUUAGUUAGGGUUAAUGUUGCAUAUUGUAUGGUGUGCAGUCACUUCCAGGUAUAGUUAAAUUAUUGCUGAUUAUGCUUGCAUAGGAAUGUAUUCUAGGAAUAUCUUACCAUCCACUGUUCUGACCCACCUUGUGUCAUGACAUGAAAGCACAGGACCAGAAAAUCUAUGGUCAUAGGACCACACCCUAUGGCUCUGGGCAUCCAAGUAGUGGGAGAAGAAAAGCAUAAAAUGUCC